UCCGGCUUAACGCCGGCAGUCCCCCCAGAGUCCCCAACUGAAUGAUGGCAACUAAGGACAAGGGUUGCGCUCGUUACGGGACUUAACCCAACAUCUCACAACACGAGCUGACGACAGCCAUGCAGCACCUGUCUCUAGGUUCCUUUCGGCACUCUCAACUCUCAUCGAGAUUCCUAGGAUGUCAAGGGUAGGUAAGGUUCUUCGCGUUGCAUCGAAUUAAACCACAUGCUCCACCGCUUGUGCGGGCCCCCGUCAAUUCCUUUGAGUUUCAACCUUGCGGCCGUACUUCCCAGGCGGAAGACUUAUCGCGUUAGCUUCAAUACUAUAAGGUUCCCCUUACAACAUUUAGUCCUCAUCGUUUACAGCGUGGACUAC
Molecule: unclassified non-coding RNA, 375 nt
Filed under: uncultured Gammaproteobacteria bacterium
Lineage: Bacteria; Pseudomonadati; Pseudomonadota; Gammaproteobacteria
Description: contains 16S-23S intergenic spacer region
Source: RNAcentral